GGGGGUGUUAGGAAGUAGAACUUUGCCUGAUGUUUCUGGGUGCAUGUAGAGGUGCGGUUGGCCUCUUUAAAAAGCCGCAAAACAAUAGUUGCAAAUGACAACACAUUCGAAGUAGCAGCUUAAAAAACUGUUCUCGGCACUCUCCUAGCAGCAGCUUGCAUGACGGGUUAAAGAGUGCAUCAGAAGCAAGCAAACCUAUUUGAGAUGGGUGGUCAUCUUAUAGGUCAACACCAAGCACACAUUGUGUGUUACUGCCCUUCGAGGUGACCCUUGCCCUCAUCUAAGGUCAUCUGACAAUAUUAUGAGAAAAAACAUGUAAUUCGCUUAGAUUCUUGAAGGUAAGGUCAUCGCAGUUCGAAUCUGCGCACCUCCACCA
RNAcentral lists this transfer-messenger RNA (376 nucleotides) under Vibrio vulnificus. It matches the Rfam family "transfer-messenger RNA". From Rfam's summary of the family: Bacterial tmRNA, also known as 10Sa RNA or SsrA, is named for its dual tRNA and mRNA-like properties. Its role is to liberate the mRNA from a stalled ribosome. To accomplish this part of the tmRNA is used as a reading frame that ends in a translation stop signal. The record is from RNAcentral. Lineage: Bacteria; Pseudomonadati; Pseudomonadota; Gammaproteobacteria; Vibrionales; Vibrionaceae.